UACGAAGGGGGCUAGCGUUGCUCGGAAUUACUGGGCGUAAAGGGCGCGUAGGCGGCACUGUUAGUCAGGCGUGAAAGUCCUGGGCUCAACCUGGGAACUGCGCUUGAUACGGCAGAGCUAGAGGAUGGAAGAGGCUCGCGGAAUUCCCAGUGUAGAGGUGAAAUUCGUAGAUAUUGGGAAGAACACCGGUGGCGAAGGCGGCGAGCUGGACCUCUUCUGACGCUGAUGCGCGAAAGCCAGGGGAGCGAACGGG
RNAcentral lists this ribosomal RNA (253 nucleotides) under uncultured bacterium. RNAcentral describes it as "partial 16S ribosomal RNA". It matches the Rfam family "Bacterial small subunit ribosomal RNA", at positions 524 to 776 of the family's 1533-position model. The record is from RNAcentral.